GGAUCAAGCAUUUCAAGUAG
Molecule: small nuclear RNA, 20 nt
Filed under: Arabidopsis thaliana (thale cress)
Lineage: Eukaryota; Viridiplantae; Streptophyta; Magnoliopsida; Brassicales; Brassicaceae
Description: snRNA_12245
Source: RNAcentral